This 31-nucleotide non-coding RNA is filed under the name Mus musculus (house mouse). Lineage: Eukaryota; Metazoa; Chordata; Mammalia; Rodentia; Muridae. The record is from RNAcentral.
UGAAAGUUUGAUUUCAUAUUUGGUCACCCUC